CGCCGCGUUGCUCCUCAAACCAAGCACCGCACAUCAUCACCUUUGGUUAAUGAAUAAGAGAGCAGACUGCAUACAACUUCACAAAAGCAGAGAUUGAAAAUUCGAUCUUCCUUUUUGACUUCAAGAACUUGACGGAGAUCCAAACGUAACUCUCGAUAUGCAGCUCAGUUUUGCACUCAUCUUUUCGAUUGCCAUCCUGCUGGGUAAUGCUCUCGAGCUCAGAGCGGCCAUUUACGGGCCGGCUCCGACAGACGGUGAAGGUGCGGAGUCUCAAAGCCAAAUGUGCUUAGAGGUACUGCGAGGUCCACCUGGUUUAGUUGGCCCCAAGGGUGAAGAAGGGGUCAGGGGCAGAAAGGUGAGGUUGGUCCAGUUGGCGCUGUUGGUGAGCAGGGAGCUCCGGGGAACCCUGGGCCUAAAGGGGACGUCGGAGUGGGCCUGCCGGGUAGGGUAGGUCCCAGAGGUCCACCUGGUGUAGUUGGCCCUAGGGGGAAGCUGGAGUUAAAGGUCAAAAAGGUGAACCGGGGGAGGUGCUAGAUAACUCUGCCCAGCAAGUAGCAUUCACGGUGACGCGGACAAGCAGCUCA
Acanthaster planci (crown-of-thorns starfish) is the source of this 584-nucleotide long non-coding RNA. Lineage: Eukaryota; Metazoa; Echinodermata; Asteroidea; Valvatida; Acanthasteridae. The record is from RefSeq and is a predicted model, not a curated record.